AGUAAAAAGAUAUUUAGGUAAAGAGAAAUUUAAUUUAGUAUGGAGAGGUGGAAUUUGUACAUAAAAAAUUAUAUUAUUUAUUUCUUUUAUUUGAUGCUUCGAAAAUUAAAUGGGAAACCGGGAUUAGAUACCCCGUUAUUUUUUUUGUAAAUUGUGAUUAAUUAUUUAGUUUACCUGAGUAUUACGGGUUGAGAAGUUUAGUAUAAAUAGGCAUAGCCAUUAUAGGGCUUCUCAGGUACUUAAAACUCAAAAAACUUGGCGGUGCCUUAUUUCCUUCCAGGGGAACCUGUCCUGUAAUCGAUGAUCCACGAUUUAGCUUACUUUUUUUUGAAGCUUAUGUAAUAAGUUAUCAGUUUGUAUACCGUCGUCGUCAGAUUACCUUUAAGAGUUAAAAAGUUGUCGGAUAAAAUUGGAGGCGCUAAUAGUAAAAUAGUAAUGGCGCUGGUCAGCUUCUGAUGUCARAUCAAGGUGCAGCUUAUAUAAAAGUAGAGAUGGGUUACAAUAUAAAUUUUAUAUAAUGGAUACUAAUUUGUAAUAAUUAGGUGAAAGUGGACUUGGGAGUAAUGUAGUUUAUAUUAAGUAAAUUAGAUAGUUUAUGUGAAUAUAGGUACUAAGGUGCGUACACAUCGC
This 630-nucleotide ribosomal RNA is filed under the name Cantharidus capillaceus. RNAcentral describes it as "partial 12S ribosomal RNA". The stretch from base 225 to 630 matches the Rfam family "Bacterial small subunit ribosomal RNA", at positions 875 to 1393 of the family's 1533-position model. The record is from RNAcentral. Lineage: Eukaryota; Metazoa; Mollusca; Gastropoda; Trochida; Trochidae.